CAACGCGAAGAACCUUACCUGGUCUUGACAUCCACAGAAGAAUCCAGAGAUGGAUUUGUGCCUUCGGGAACUGUGAGACAGGUGCUGCAUGGCUGUCGUCAGCUCGUGUUGUGAAAUGUUGGGUUAAGUCCCGCAACGAGCGCAACCCUUAUCCUUUGUUGCCAGCGAUUAGGUCGGGAACUCAAAGGAGACUGCCAGUGAUAAACUGGAGGAAGGUGGGGAUGACGUCAAGUCAUCAUGGCCCUUACGACCAGGGCUACACACGUGCUACAAUGGCGCAUACAAAGAGAAGCGACCUCGC
RNAcentral lists this ribosomal RNA (301 nucleotides) under Salmonella enterica subsp. enterica serovar Anatum. RNAcentral's name for it is "bacterial SSU rRNA". It matches the Rfam family "Bacterial small subunit ribosomal RNA", at positions 957 to 1258 of the family's 1533-position model. Lineage: Bacteria; Pseudomonadati; Pseudomonadota; Gammaproteobacteria; Enterobacterales; Enterobacteriaceae. The record is from RNAcentral.